AUUGAACGCUGGCGGCAGGCCUAACACAUGCAAGUCGAGCGAGCGGCGGACGGGUGAGUAAUGUCUGGGAAACUGCCUGAUGGAGGGGGAUAACUACUGGAAACGGUAGCUAAUACCGCAUACCAUCAGAUGUGCCCAGAUGGGAUUAGCUAGUAGGUGGGGUAACGGCUCACCUAGGCGACUAUCCCUAGCUGGUCUGUGAGGAUGACCAGCCACACUGGAACUGAGACACGGUCCAGACUCCUACGGGAGGCAGCAGUGGGGAAUAUUGCACAAUGGGCGCAAGCCUGAUGCAGCCAUGCCGCGUGUGGGAAGAAGGCCUUCGGGUUGUAAAGCACUUUCAGCGGGGAGGCGUUACCCGCAGAAGAAGCACCGGCUAACUCCGUGCCAGCAGCCGCGGUAAUUU
RNAcentral lists this ribosomal RNA (406 nucleotides) under uncultured bacterium. RNAcentral's name for it is "partial 16S ribosomal RNA". It matches the Rfam family "Bacterial small subunit ribosomal RNA", at positions 30 to 526 of the family's 1533-position model. The record is from RNAcentral.